Molecule: long non-coding RNA, 2237 nt
Filed under: Homo sapiens (human)
Lineage: Eukaryota; Metazoa; Chordata; Mammalia; Primates; Hominidae
Description: non-protein coding lnc-IGFBP3-4:1
Source: RNAcentral
ACUCACGCGGAGCCAAUCGGAACUCGCGGCGGGGUUGCUGGGUCUUCCAGGAUCGCGCAUUAGCGGACGCUGGCUACGGGUGGCCGGGCGGGAUGUAACCGGCUGCUGAGCUGGCAGUUCUGUGUCCCCAGGCUUCGGCCCGGCCGCCGCCGCACAUAAACUGCGAGGAGGAGCUUUACGACUUCUCGGUCUUCGGGGCCGGGCGCAGCAAGGGCCAGACUCUGCGCUAGCAGGCGCUGCGCGCCAACCGGCCGGCCCCUGUCGCAGAAGGUGCAACCGAUCGCACUGUCGCGCAGAAGCUCCUCAAUGGCCAGCGCCAGCUGCAGCCCCGGCUGCCCACUCGCCUCACCUGAGCCUGGGUGGAACAAUCCAAAGUUUUAAUCAAAGAAGGUGGUAUUCAGUUGCUGCUUACAAUAGUUGAUACCCCAGGAUUUGGAGAUGCAGUGGAUAAUAGUAAUUGCUGGCAGCCUGUUAUCAAUUACAUUGAUAGUAAAUUUGAGGACUACCUAAAUGCAGAAUCGCAAGUGAACAGAUGUCAGAUGCCUGGUAACAGGGUGCACUGUUGUUUAUACUUCAUUGCUCCUUCAGGACAUGGACCGUUACAUAACUGAAGACUCCCACCUUCAGGCAGGAUUGGGUAGUACAUGUUUGUAACUACCUGGCAUUGCCUUUUGUUGAGACUUAAACCAUUGGAUAUUGAGUUUACAAAGCAUUUGCAUGAAAAAGUGAAUAUCAUCCCACUUAUUGCCAAAGCAGACACACUCAUGCCAGAGGAAUGCCAACAGUUUAAAAAACAGAUAAAGAAAUCCAAGAACAUAAAGUUAAAAUAUAUGAAUUUCCAGAAACAGAUGAUGAAGAAGAAAAAAAACUUGUUAAAAAGAUAAAGGACCAUUUACCUCUUGCUGUGGUGGGUAGUAAUACUAUCAUUGAAGUUAAUGGCAAAAGGGUCAUAGGAAGGCAGUAUCCUUGGAGUGUUGCUGAAGUUGAAAAUGGUGAACAUUGUGAUUUUACAGUUUUAAGAAAUAUGUUGAUAAGAACACACGCAGGACUUGAAAGAUGUUACUAAUAAUGUCCACUACGAGAACUAUGGAAUCAGAAAACUGGCAGCUGUGACUUAUCAUGGAGUUGAUAACAAGAAGAAUAAAGGGCAGCUCACUAAUAGAGACGGUAUUUCACCAUGUUAGCCAGGAUGGUCUUGAUCUCCUGACCUCGUGAUCCACCCGCCUCGGCCUCCCAAAGUGCUGGGAUUACAGGCAUGAGCCACCACGCCCGGCCAAGUGGAAUGAAUUUUCAAGAGCAUUGAAGUUACCAUAAGGGGCCUAGAAAUACUCUGUAUACCUAUAUAGUGCUCUAGGAGCCCUCUGGCACAAAUGGAAGAAGAAAGAAGGGAGCAAGUAGCUAAAAUUAAGAAGAUGGAGAUGGAGAUGGAGCAGGUGUUUGAGAUGAAGGUCAAAGAAAAAGUUCAAAAACUGAAGGACUCUGAAGCUGAGGUACAGCGGACCUUCCUGGCAUCAGAAAAAGGCCUCCAGAAAAAGAGACACAGGAACUGAUUUCAUCUGAAAUUGAAGAGACAAUCAGAGAAAAACUAUAGACCACUCAUGAUGGUUGUUAUAUGUGCUUGGCUGGGCCAUGGGUCCCAGUGUUUGGUGAAACACAGCAGCAGAUGUCCCUGUGAGUAGAUGUUGCUUUGAAGGUAUCUUUUAGAUGUGAUGAACAUUUGUCAUCAGUAGACUUUGAGUAAGGCAGAUAGCCCGUCACAAUGUGGAUGGGCCUUAUCCAAUUAGUUGAAGGCCUUUGAAAAAAGACUGAGAUCCCAAACGAAGAAGGAAUUCUGCCUCCAGACAGCCUUCCAACUCAAGUAGCAACAUAACCUCCUCCCUGCGGCUCUAGCCUGCUGGCCUUUCCUAUAGACUUCAGACUUGCCAGCCCCACAAUCAUGUAAGCCAAUUCCUUAAAAUAAAUUCUCUGUCCUGUUUUUGCCCCCUCUCUCUUUCUGACAGCACACACAUGCCCUCUUGGUUCUGUUUCUUUGAAGAACCCCAGGAAAACACACAAAGGAAAAACAACUCGAUAGACAGAAGAUUCUUCAAUGACAACAAUGGAAGCCAUCUUCACCAUUCAACUAAACUUGAAUGGGAUAUUAUCAAACUUAAAAAAAAAUUAUCAACUGAUCGUGUAAUCAGUUUCAUCUUUUAAGACAGGAAAUGAAAUAAAGUAUUUACAGAUGAAUGUAAAAU